AGGCAGUGUAUUGUUAGCUGGCUGCUUGAGUCAAGUCAGCAGCCACAACUACCCUGCCAC
This 60-nucleotide microRNA precursor is filed under the name Macaca mulatta (Rhesus monkey). RNAcentral's name for it is "Mml-Mir-34-P3b_pre stem-loop". It matches the Rfam family "mir-449 microRNA precursor family", at positions 16 to 75 of the family's 86-position model. The record is from RNAcentral. Lineage: Eukaryota; Metazoa; Chordata; Mammalia; Primates; Cercopithecidae.